UACGCAGGGGGCAAGCGUUGUCCGGAUUUACUGGGCGUAAAGAGCGUGUAGGCGGCCAGGCAGGUCUGUUGUGAAAACUGGAGGCUCAACUUCCAGACGUCGACAGAAACCGCUUGGCUAGAGUCCGGAAGAGGAGAGUGGAAUUCCUGGUGUAGCGGUGAAAUGCGCAGAUAUCAGGAAGAACACCGAUGGCGAAGGCAGCUCUCUGGGACGGUACUGACGCUGAGACGCGAAAGCGUGGGGAGCGAACAGG
This 253-nucleotide ribosomal RNA is filed under the name uncultured bacterium. Its description in RNAcentral is "partial 16S ribosomal RNA". It matches the Rfam family "Bacterial small subunit ribosomal RNA", at positions 524 to 776 of the family's 1533-position model. The record is from RNAcentral.